UACGGAGGGGACUAGCGUUGUUCGGAAUUACUGGGCGUAAAGCGCACGUAGGCGGAUUUGUAAGUUAGGGGUGAAAUCCCGGGGCUCAACCUCGGAACUGCCUUUGAUACUGCAAAUCUCGAGUCCGGAAGAGGUGAGUGGAAUUCCUAGUGUAGAGGUGAAAUUCGUAGAUAUUAGGAAGAACACCAGUGGCGAAGGCGGCUCACUGGCCCGGUACUGACGCUGAGGCGCGAAAGCGUGGGGAGCAAACAGG
This 253-nucleotide ribosomal RNA is filed under the name uncultured bacterium. RNAcentral's name for it is "partial 16S ribosomal RNA". It matches the Rfam family "Bacterial small subunit ribosomal RNA", at positions 524 to 776 of the family's 1533-position model. The record is from RNAcentral.